Molecule: small nucleolar RNA, 103 nt
Organism: Rhododendron vialii
Lineage: Eukaryota; Viridiplantae; Streptophyta; Magnoliopsida; Ericales; Ericaceae
Product: small nucleolar RNA snoR100
Exons: 1
Source: RefSeq, a predicted model, not a curated record
AGAUGAAUGAAGCAUGGUAAUGUGCACAUAAAUUGAAUUGGGUCUCUAGGCCUCUCUGAUACCAUUUGGCUUUGAUUUGGAAGCAUGGUUCCACAACAAAAUA